UGCCACUGCGACCGCGGAUACACUGGGCCCGCGUGCGACACGGAGGACUACGACUACUACAGAGGGUAGCAGCCUGACCGCAGCCCAGGGCCCCCGCUCACCCCGGGGGCAGGGCGGCCCUCAGCCAACCUCAGAAAGGACAUUAAGAAAAAACUGUCCUGCGAACCGAGGACAUUUCUUCCUGUAGUGAUAAUGCUGAGUAACGCAUAGGUGUUAUAUAGUGUAUUUACGAUAAACAAAUUUCUUAAGUAUUUUGUACUAAUAAUAAAACGCGGCUCUUUACUUCAUAAUAAAGUAGAUUACAGGAUAUUAGCCACAUUUCUGUAUAUAGUAUUCUCAUAAUGGACGUUCAUGUAUUGUGUUAUUAGCUAUACAACGAAGAAAACCUGUAGUCAUUAUCAAAAAAAUAAAUGUACGAUCAAAUAUAUGAAAA
Molecule: long non-coding RNA, 433 nt
Filed under: Penaeus japonicus
Lineage: Eukaryota; Metazoa; Arthropoda; Malacostraca; Decapoda; Penaeidae
Description: uncharacterized LOC122248724
Source: RNAcentral